Molecule: ribosomal RNA, 253 nt
Filed under: uncultured bacterium
Lineage: Bacteria
Description: partial 16S ribosomal RNA
Rfam family: Bacterial small subunit ribosomal RNA
Source: RNAcentral
UACAGAGGGGGCAAGCGUUGUUCGGAAUUACUGGGCGUAAAGGGCGCGUAGGCGGCCUGCUAAGUCGAACGUGAAAUCCCCGGGCUCAACCCGGGAACUGCGUCCGAUACUGGCAGGCUUGAAUCCGGGAGAGGGAUGCGGAAUUCCAGGUGUAGCGGUGAAAUGCGUAGAGAUGUGGAGGAACACCAGUGGCGAAGGCGACUCUUUGGCCUGUAACUGACACUGAGGCGCGAAAGCGUGGGGAGCAAACAGG